AGCGCAGGCGGGAAGACAAGUUGGAAGUGAAAUCUAUGGGCUCAACCCAUAAACUGCUUUCAAAACUGUUUUUCUUGAGUAGUGCAGAGGUAGGCGGAAUUCCCGGUGUAGCGGUGGAAUGCGUAGAUAUCGGGAGGAACACCAGUGGCGAAGGCAGGUCUCUGGGCCGUCACUGACGCUGAGGAGCGAAAGCGUGGGGAGCGAACA
This 207-nucleotide ribosomal RNA is filed under the name uncultured bacterium. Its description in RNAcentral is "partial 16S ribosomal RNA". It matches the Rfam family "Bacterial small subunit ribosomal RNA", at positions 568 to 774 of the family's 1533-position model. The record is from RNAcentral.